Molecule: ribosomal RNA, 253 nt
Filed under: uncultured bacterium
Lineage: Bacteria
Description: partial 16S ribosomal RNA
Rfam family: Bacterial small subunit ribosomal RNA
Source: RNAcentral
UACGUAGGAGGCAAGCGUUGUCCGGAAUCAUUGGGCGUAAAGCGCGCGUAGGCGGCCAGAUAAGUCCGGUGUGAAAGUCACAGGCUCAACCUGUGAAUGCCGCUGGAAACUGUCUGGCUAGAGUCCGGAAGGGGCGAGUGGAAUUCCUGGUGUAGCGGUGAAAUGCGCAGAUAUCAGGAGGAACACCAAUGGCGAAGGCAGCUCGCUGGAACGGUACUGACGCUGAGGCGCGAAAGCGUGGGGAGCGAACAGG